This 653-nucleotide ribosomal RNA is filed under the name Micrococcus sp. Its description in RNAcentral is "bacterial SSU rRNA". It matches the Rfam family "Bacterial small subunit ribosomal RNA", at positions 136 to 804 of the family's 1533-position model. Lineage: Bacteria; Bacillati; Actinomycetota; Actinomycetes; Micrococcales; Micrococcaceae. The record is from RNAcentral.
UCUGGGGAUAAGCCUGGGAAACUGGGUCUAAUACCGGAUAGGAGCGCCUACCGCAUGGUGGGUGUUGGAAAGAUUCAUCGGUUUUGGAUGGACUCGCGGCCUAUCAGCUUGUUGGUGAGGUAAUGGCUCACCAAGGCGACGACGGGUAGCCGGCCUGAGAGGGUGACCGGCCACACUGGGGGUGAGACACGGCCCAGACUCCACGGGAGGCAGCAGUGGGGAAUAUUGCACAAUGGGCGCAAGCCUGAUGCAGCGACGCCGCGUGAGGGAUGACGUCUUUCGGGUUGUAAACCUCUUUCAGUAGGGAAGAAGCGAAAUUGACGGUACCUGCAGAAGAAGCACCGGCUAACUACGUGCCAGCAGCCGCGGUAAUACGUAGGGUGCGAGCGUUAUCCGGAAUUAUUGGGCGUAAAGAGCUCGUAGGCGGUUUGUCGCGUCUGUCGUGAAAGUCCGGGGCUUAACCCCGGAUUUGCGGUGGGUACGGGCAGACUAGAGUGCAGUAGGGGAGACUGGAAUUCCUGGUGUAGCGGUGGAAUGCGCAGAUAUCAGGAGGAACACCGAUGGCGAAGGCAGGUCUCUGGGCUGUAACUGACGCUGAGGAGCGAAAGCAUGGGGAGCGAACAGGAUUAGAUACCCUGGUAGUCCAUGCCGUA